UACGGGGGGGGCAAGCGUUGUUCGGAAUUACUGGGCGUAAAGGGCGCGUAGGCGGCCUGCUAAGUCGGAUGUGAAAUCCCUCGGCUCAACCGAGGAACUGCAUCCGAUACUGGCGGGCUUGAAUCCGGGAGAGGGAUGUGGAAUUCCAGGUGUAGCGGUGAAAUGCGUAGAUAUCUGGAGGAACACCGGUGGCGAAGGCGGCAUCCUGGACCGGUACUGACGCUGAGGUGCGAAAGCGUGGGUAGCAAACAGG
This 253-nucleotide ribosomal RNA is filed under the name uncultured bacterium. RNAcentral's name for it is "partial 16S ribosomal RNA". It matches the Rfam family "Bacterial small subunit ribosomal RNA", at positions 524 to 776 of the family's 1533-position model. The record is from RNAcentral.